UUCUACCGGCAACGUAUGGUGAGGGGGAAAAUAUUCUCCUUUGGAGAGUAAAAACCCAUCUCCCUAUGAUUCCCACUUACCCGUUCCUCUUACUUAAACCACCACCAACAAGAAGAAACAUCUUUUAAAAGAGAGAAAGGCUGCUCCUCUGGGGAUUUCUCAGCUAACUCUCUGCCAGUCAUUGCAAACAAGAUGUAUGGACUAAACAGGGAGAUGGUCCCAAGAAUCUGAGCCUGUCUGAGAGAAGUAUUAUAUGUCAUUACCGAAGUGAAUCAGGAGGAUCUGAAGGAUUUUUUACUCAGUGCUCUAAGGAUUCAUGUGUGCAGGGCCCAGCCAGCACGGUUUGCCGAGAGAAUGAGACACCACAGGUGAGCAUCACUGGUUCAAAGCCUGGAGGGAGAAAGAGAAAGAUGCUGGGCAGCCUUGCCUGGAAAGGCCUGGAAAGCCCCAGCCCCAAGAGAGCACUUUAAGCAUAGAGGCAUCUGGAGACGGGUGAC
Molecule: non-coding RNA, 497 nt
Organism: Kogia breviceps (pygmy sperm whale)
Lineage: Eukaryota; Metazoa; Chordata; Mammalia; Artiodactyla; Physeteridae
Source: RefSeq, a predicted model, not a curated record